RNAcentral lists this ribosomal RNA (854 nucleotides) under uncultured Chloroflexota bacterium. RNAcentral describes it as "bacterial SSU rRNA". It matches the Rfam family "Bacterial small subunit ribosomal RNA", at positions 28 to 896 of the family's 1533-position model. The record is from RNAcentral. Lineage: Bacteria; Bacillati; Chloroflexota.
GAUGAACGUUGGCGGUGUGCCUUAUGCAUGCAAGUCGAACGGGGAUAUGACUUUCGGGUUAUAUUCUAGUGGCGAACGGCUGAGUAACGCGUAAGUAACCUACCCUCGAGUGGGGAAUAACUUGUCGAAAGGCAAGCUAAUACCGCAUGAAGUAACCAAAAGAUAUGUUUAGUUACCAAAGUCUUCGGAUGCUCGAAGAGGGGCUUGCGUCUGAUUAGCUAGUUGGUGAGGUAAUGGCUCACCAAGGCGAUGAUCAGUAGCUGGUCUGAGAGGAUGGUCAGCCAGAUAGGGACUGAGACACGGCCCUGACUCCUACGGGAGGCAGCAGCAGGGAAUAUUGGACAAUGGGCGAAAGCCUGAUCCAGCGACACCGCGUGAGGGAAGAAGGCCUUCGGGUUGUAAACCUCUUUUCUCUGGGAAGAAAUCUGACGGUACCAGAGGAAUAAGCCUCGGCUAAUUACGUGCCAGCAGCCGCGGUAAAACGUGGGAGGCAAACGUUAUCCGGAUUUACUGGGCGUAAAGGGAGCGUAGGCGGUUCUUUAAGUCAGGUGUGAAAUCUCUUGACUCAAUCAAGAGAAGUCAUCUGGAACUGAGGGACUUGAGGGCAGCAGAAGGAAACGGAAUUUCCGGUGUAGCGGUGAAAUGCGUUGAUACCGGGAAGAACACCAGUGGCGAAGGCGGUUUCCUAGGCUGUUUCUGACGCUGAGGCUCGAAAGCGUGGGGAGCGAAGCGGAUUAGAUACCCGCGUAGUCCACGCCCUAAACGGUGGACACUAGAUAUCGGGAGUAUCGACCCUCCUCGUGUCGAAGCUAACGCUUUAAGUGUCCCGCCUGGGGACUACGACCGCAAGGUUA